UUCAGGAAUAUUCCUCCCCUUGUUUAGCCUAUAAUUAAGCCGUUGCUUAAAUAGAGGGGCAACAGGAACCAGGGGCCAGUUGUCUUCUAUAGGGAGAACUUGACCCUGCUCUGUCUAUGGAGUAGAUUUUCUAUAGUUUCUGAACAAAUCUUGCUUUCACUUUAUACUGUCGGCUCUCUCCUCAAAUCUUUCUUGCGCAAAGCCAACGACCCACUUGGACCUCAAGUAGCUUCCAGCAUUGGGGGUCAAUUUGCUGUGUCAUCUUCCUGGCAGUCUAGAUGGGACAAAGGGUGACACCCACCCAGACCCCAAAUUAAAACUGCACAGCACUAUUUGGAACCAAAAGUACGGUGGCUGCAAUCAAGUCACUUGCAUAGUUAUUAACCAAACUUGCAUUUCGCCUUAGUUCACCAUGUUUACAUUAUACUCCCACCUCCCCCUGGAGAAGACUUUUUCUGUCCAUCUUGGCCAUCUGAAAAUAACCAUGUUGCAUUCUGGCUGAAUAGAAAGUAGUUACAGUAAUUGCGAUUCAAGUUUAUGCUAAUGCAAGACUUCCAACCCAUCUCAUCAGCUGGAUUCAGAACAUAGAAGCAUGCUACCCCUGAGCCCCCUAGACCGUUUCCAGAGAUUUUUACUCCUCCCAUGAUAGGCAGGGCCAACACCCCUAAAGUCAGCCUGAAGCAGUUACAGAAGACACAUCUUCCUCCUUCUACAACCCCUUAUGAUUAAGGCAGUGGGGGGAGGCGGGGCGGGGGGCGGGUGUUAUCUCUGAGUGGGAAAUGAAGCAGGGAACUGGCAGGCCCUGCUUUGGGCAUUGCUUAAUUGUGCAAACAUUGUCUAACUGAGCCAAGAAGUUUUAAAACAAAGUUUGAAACUACCCUAAUCAAAACAAGAUGGAGGCAGGACAAGUCCAUGAAUAUUCCUCCCCUUGUUUAGCCUGUAAUUAAGCCAUUGCUUAAAUAGAGGGGCAACAGGAACCAGGGGCCACUUGUCUUCUACAGGGAGAAUUUGCUCUGUUCUGUCUGUGGAGGAGAUUUUUCUGUAGUUUCUGAAUAAAUCUUGCUUUCACUUUA
Long non-coding RNA from Lemur catta (Ring-tailed lemur), 1073 nucleotides. RefSeq lists it as uncharacterized. Lineage: Eukaryota; Metazoa; Chordata; Mammalia; Primates; Lemuridae. The transcript has 3 exons. The record is from RefSeq and is a predicted model, not a curated record.